GGAGGUUCUCGGAUGACACACCUCAGAAUCAGGCUCCAUUCUCUCUGGUUCCAGGUGCAUCACCCAAGAACCGCC
Non-coding RNA from Myotis davidii, 75 nucleotides. The record is from Rfam. Lineage: Eukaryota; Metazoa; Chordata; Mammalia; Chiroptera; Vespertilionidae.